UGGGGAAUAUUGCACAAUGGGGGAAACCCUGAUGCAGCGACGCCGCGUGAGCGGAGAAGGUUUUCGAAUCGUAAAGCUCUGUCCUAUGAGAAGAUAAUGACGGUAUCAUAGGAGGAAGCCCCGGCUAAAUACGUGCCAGCAGCCGCGGUAAUACGUAUGGGGCGAGCGUUGUCCGGAAUUAUUGGGCGUAAAGGGUACGUAGGCGGUCUAUUAAGUCAGGUGUGAAAGCGUGAGGCUUAACCUCAUUAAGCACUUGAAACUGAUAGACUUGAGUGAAGGAGAGGAAAGUGGAAUUCCUAGUGUAGCGGUGAAAUGCGUAGAUAUUAGGAGGAACACCAGUAGCGAAGGCGGCUUUCUGGACUGCAACUGACACUGAGGCACGAAAGCGUGGGUAGCAAACAG
RNAcentral lists this ribosomal RNA (402 nucleotides) under Verrucomicrobiota bacterium. RNAcentral's name for it is "Verrucomicrobia bacterium partial 16S ribosomal RNA". It matches the Rfam family "Bacterial small subunit ribosomal RNA", at positions 355 to 775 of the family's 1533-position model. Lineage: Bacteria; Pseudomonadati; Verrucomicrobiota. The record is from RNAcentral.